UGAACGCUAGCUACAGGCUUAACACAUGCAAGUCGAGGGGCAGCAUGGUCUUAGCUUGCUAAGGCCGAUGGCGACCGGCGCACGGGUGAGUAACACGUAUCCAACCUGCCGUCUACUCUUGGACAGCCUUCUGAAAGGAAGAUUAAUACAAGAUGGCAUCAUGAGUCCGCAUGUUCACAUGAUUAAAGGUAUUCCGGUAGACGAUGGGGAUGCGUUCCAUUAGAUAGUAGGCGGGGUAACGGCCCACCUAGUCUUCGAUGGAUAGGGGUUCUGAGAGGAAGGUCCCCCACAUUGGAACUGAGACACGGUCCAAACUCCUACGGGAGGCAGCAGUGAGGAAUAUUGGUCAAUGGGCGAGAGCCUGAACCAGCCAAGUAGCGUGAAGGAUGACUGCCCUAUGGGUUGUAAACUUCUUUUAUAAAGGAAUAAAGUCGGGUAUGCAUACCCGUUUGCAUGUACUUUAUGAAUAAGGAUCGGCUAACUCCGUG
This 488-nucleotide ribosomal RNA is filed under the name uncultured bacterium. Its description in RNAcentral is "bacterial SSU rRNA". It matches the Rfam family "Bacterial small subunit ribosomal RNA", at positions 30 to 507 of the family's 1533-position model. The record is from RNAcentral.